This 421-nucleotide ribosomal RNA is filed under the name uncultured bacterium. RNAcentral describes it as "partial 16S ribosomal RNA". It matches the Rfam family "Bacterial small subunit ribosomal RNA", at positions 359 to 773 of the family's 1533-position model. The record is from RNAcentral.
GAUCUUCCGCAAUGGACGAAAGUCUGCCGGAGCACCGCCCCUGGAGGGUUGAAGGUUUUCGGCUCGUAAAACUCUGUUGUUAGGGAGGAACACUUGGGGUAUUACUUGGCCUUGAGAUGACGUUACUUACCCAGAAGCCCCCGCCAACCUACGUGCCGCCAGCCGCGGUAAUACGUAGGUGGCAAGCGUUAUCCGGAAUUAUUGGGCGUAAAGCGCGCGUAGGCGGUAAAAUAAGUCUGAUGUGAAAGCCCCCGGCUCAACCGGGGAGGGUCAUUGGAAACUGUUUUACUUGAGUACAGAAGAGGAGAGUGGAAUUCCAUGUGUAGCGGUGAAAUGCGCAGAGAUAUGGAGGAACACCAGUGGCGAAGGCGGCUCUCUGGUCUGUUACUGACGCUGAGGUGCGAAAGCGUGGGGAUCAAAC